AGGUGGGGGACAACAGUUGGAAACGACUGCUAAUACCGCAUAAUGUCUACGGACCAAAGGGGGCUUCGGCUCUCGCCUUUAGAUUGGCCCAAGUGGGAUUAGCUAGUUGGUGAGGUAAUGGCUCACCAAGGCAACGAUCCCUAGCUGGUUUGAGAGGAUGAUCAGCCACACUGGGACUGAGACACGGCCCAGACUCCUACGGGAGGCAGCAGUGGGGAAUAUUGCACAAUGGGCGCAAGCCUGAUGCAGCCAUGCCGCGUGUGUGAAGAAGGCCUUCGGGUUGUAAAGCACUUUCAGUCAGGAGGAAAGGUUAGUAGUUAAUACCUGCUAGCUGUGACGUUACUGACAGAAGAAGCACCGGCUAACUCCGUGCCAGCAGCCGCGGUAAUACGGAGGGUGCGAGCGUUAAUCGGAAUUACUGGGCGUAAAGCGUACGCAGGCAGUUUGUUAAGCGAGAUGUGAAAGCCCCGGGCUCAACCUGGGAACUGCAUUUCGAACUGGCAAACUAGAGUGUGAUAGAGGGUGGUAGAAU
RNAcentral lists this ribosomal RNA (532 nucleotides) under bacterium 4873K4-B13. RNAcentral's name for it is "bacterial SSU rRNA". It matches the Rfam family "Bacterial small subunit ribosomal RNA", at positions 134 to 667 of the family's 1533-position model. The record is from RNAcentral.